Long non-coding RNA from Hyla sarda, 381 nucleotides. RefSeq lists it as uncharacterized. The record is from RefSeq and is a predicted model, not a curated record. The transcript has 3 exons. NCBI's taxonomy places the organism in Eukaryota, Metazoa, Chordata, Amphibia, Anura, Hylidae.
GAGCUGUUCUGUCUGAUAUUUUUCUUGGUCUUCCAGAUCUUGCCUUAACUUCCACUGUUCCUGAUGCCAUUUCUUAAUUACAUUCCGAACAGAGGAUAUUGACAUCUGAAAACAUUUUGCUAUCUUCUUAUAGCCUUCUCCAGCUUUAUUAGGAACGAGCAAUAAACAGCAACAACAAUGAGAAAUUCUGAGGAACAAGUCACAGGAAACCACCAGCUACUAAAUCAUCUAUUAUCCAGGUUACAUCACAGGGGCCAGCAAUGAGAACACUGUAGACGACAAGACGGACCCCUCAUGAAUUUCUACAUAUUUUGCUUUUCUUGUAUCUAUACAAGGACCGGCCGGAAUGACACGUUGGACAUAUUUGUAGGCAGAAUAUUG